Molecule: microRNA precursor, 106 nt
Filed under: Hyaloperonospora arabidopsidis Emoy2
Lineage: Eukaryota; Oomycota; Peronosporomycetes; Peronosporales; Peronosporaceae
Description: Hyaloperonospora arabidopsidis microRNA mir-214
Source: RNAcentral
ACAUCUCUCUAUCUGUGUAUCUGCGUGACUGCCUGUCUAUCAGACAGAUAGAGAUAAGUACAAUCUAUCUGUCUGAUAGACAGGCAGACACACAGAUACACAGAUA